CGGCGGACGGGUGAGUAACACGUGGAUAACCUACCUAUAAGACUGGGAUAACUUCGGGAAACCGGAGCUAAUACCGGAUAAUAUAUUGAACCGCAUGGUUCAAUAGUGAAAGACGGUUUUGCUGUCACUUAUAGAUGAUCCGCGCCGCAUUAGCUAGUUGGUAAGGUAACGGCUUACCAAGGCAACGAUGCGUAGCCGACCUGAGAGGGUGAUCGGCCACACUGGAACUGAGACACGGUCCAG
This 243-nucleotide ribosomal RNA is filed under the name uncultured Staphylococcus sp. Its description in RNAcentral is "partial 16S ribosomal RNA". It matches the Rfam family "Bacterial small subunit ribosomal RNA", at positions 96 to 334 of the family's 1533-position model. Lineage: Bacteria; Bacillati; Bacillota; Bacilli; Caryophanales; Staphylococcaceae. The record is from RNAcentral.